UUCCUGUAGUUCAGGCACGGGAACAACACAGCAUUAUUUCUGAAGACAAAAGCAAUCCUUAUUGAGCCAAUCAACAUAAUGCCUUGCUUUGAAUGGUAAGAAGAGAAUGAAUGUUAUUAUAUUCUCCUUAGUGAGAAUGGCUUCUUUCUGGCUGACGGCUGUGAUUCUCUGUAACCUGGCUGAGAGGAAGAGGUACAUUCUGAGCUGAUUUUUGCAUAGCCUUGGAUGUACGGGUCUUCUGUAAGGACUGGGCUAGCUGGAAAGCUCGGGUGUAAUUCAAUUACAGCUUUUCUAAUGGGAUUCUCCAGGAUGAGCGAGGGAAUAUCAAUACUGCUAAAGGUUUAGGUUUUGUGGGGGGGAGAAAUGUUCAAAAGGGCGGCUCUGAGAAUGAACUGAUCUAGAUCUGAGAUUCUAGAGGCUGUCUGACCCUGAGGGGAAGCCCUGGGCAAACGCUUGAGUAAAUUCUCCCUCUAACCUCUGCAGAAGAUGGCUCGGGGCCUGCUUUUGUUGAAUGAAAUGGAACACAGCUCUCCUCUAAAUGACAUCGAAUUAAGACUAAUUAUUUAAAAGAAAAUGGCGAACACAGUACCUGGCUUUAGGGCAAGCUGCUAACAGAAUCCUCCAAUUGCUGUGCACCCUUGUUUUUAAAUCUAAUUUUAGUAGAGAAAACCACAGAUUGGCUCUUGAGAUAGUUUCAGCUCAUAAAACAGCAGGAUUGCAAAACCUGAAAUUCAUCUGCAGGAGAAACUCUAAUCAUUUUCUGAUCACUUCUGCUGGUUGGAAAAGCAAAAGCAAAUGUUGCCUGGGGACGAUUAAAGCAAUAAAAGAAAAUCCACUUAAUCUACUUUAAAUGUCAUCUCUCUCUUUUUCAGAGCAGGUAACUCCGUGGUGAACAUAAUUAGUUGCUGGAGGAUAAAACAGCCACACGCGGGUCCAGCCAUCAGGAAGUCUCGGGGUCUGAUGGAGGGCUCCGCUCAGACGUCAGUGCCCCCGCCCUCCAGAGCCUCCCAGACCCUGCUGUUCCUACACCUGGGGGCCACGGUCUGUGUUCCAGGAUCAGCAGCCCAGGCCCACUGCGAGGCUUGUGCGAUCACACGGCACAGGGUCCGUCCGGGGGCUCUGGAGGGCACGUUAGAGCAAAACAAACUUUUUUUGCCAUAGACCAUCAAGUGGUGUUGGCUGUGAUCACAACAUCUGGCCUCAGAACCCAAAGCUUGGCAAACUGAGCCUCGGAGGAUUCCAGUGGCUCCUUUAUGUUAACAACUCCAGCACACAGCAGGACUGAAAAGACUGGUAUGAGAUACGUUGGAGUCCCUGAAUCCCAAAGAGCUUUCCCUGCACUGGGCACAGAGCUCUUUCCGAGGGACCACGAGGACAGAGGGCUCCUGACCUCAAGGGCAUAGGGCUUAAACAAAGGGCUUAAACCAGAAGAGAGGACUGAAGGCACAUGUCCGUGCUUUUCAACAGAUUUACGUUGGGAACGUCUGCACCCAAGUGGCCAGCGCUUCUCUCAGGUAUAAAAUUGGGAGCGGGGGCGGGCAGAGGCGUGGAGAAAUCACCCCUCAUUCCACAGCUUAGCGCUACGGCCCGCUUGCAAGUCCUGCUUGCUUCUCGUCUGGACCGUAACAAUGGGGCCUGGAAGGAAACCCAGCCUGCCCAUCCCUGGCCUGUGGUGGAGGCUGAGUCUGCACGGGGAGUGGGGGGGGGGGGGGGGGUUCUGCUUGGUGUAGCGCUGCCUCGUGGCCUCACCAGCUCCCUGCUGCUUCCCUGUGGUCUACCCCUUAUGCCAGACUCAUCUUCCUAAAGCCCAGCGCUGACGUUUCUCCUCCCUUCUCUUGGUAAGUGUUAAAUGGCUCUCCUGCCACAUGGAUUCCAAACUCCUCAUCAGGCCAUGAGGUUAUCUGCAGGGCCUGCCUGGCGGGCCGGCCUGAAGCCUGGGAUGCCUGUAACCUGCAGAGCCAGGCCUGCCGUGGACGAGGGGCCCCUGUGUUCCCUCCACCUGGCAGCCUGGCUCCUGUCUUUCUCAGGUUGCACUGGCAUGACUGGCCCAUUCACUGUUCCUAGCACCUUUCUUAAGGAUGUACCUUCGAGAGUUCUUCUGCCCUUUCCCUUAACCUCUGUCAGGCAAACACCUCAAAACGUGGGCUGAAAAGCAUGUUCCCUGAGCAAAGCCGCCCAGAGCCCUCCGCCUGGAGCCCUCCUACAGCACUUCCCACAGCCCCUGUCCUCCUCCUACAUCUGCUCUAUGCACGCUGGUUGUACUUACGGACGAAUUCCUCUGAUUUCCCAAAGUUCUUGGAGAUGAGAGUAUUUUUGUCAUCCUCAGAACUUCUUUGACCCUCAGGGCACUGCCCUGAACGUGGAAGCUACUCAAUUCAUAUUUGCUGAAGAGAGGAAGGUAUGUUUUCUGGUAGAGCAAGAGGAUGAAGCCAGUUCCUAACAGAAGCCCACCUCGCAGAAUAGUGCUGCCACAUUCCAACUAAACGUGGCUAAAGGCCUCUGAGGAGACGAAAGGGUCGGCCUCCCUGUGCUGACUGCCACCAGGUUGCAAAAGAAAUCAUCUUUCCCCUGUGUUGGCACAGGAAAGAAAGUCCUUAAACUGAUCACACUAUGACGCGACACUAUCUCUUCGCUCGUCUGCCUUUUCAUCACAUCGCUCAUGCUGAACGGAAAGCAAGCAUCAAAGGAGCAGACCUCCUCGCCGCCCCCUCCAAAAUUCCGCAGCCUUUGUUGUGGCUGGAGCUGGGUGGGUAUUGAGCUUUGCAGACCUGCUGGGCCUGGAAAGUGAAAACACCCUCCCGAGCCAGCAGGGGUGGUGCUGCGGGCCCGGUAGAUGGGCCCCGCGCACAGAAAGGCCCGGCGGUUGCCAUGGCGCCCUGACACCAAGAUCAUGCCUUAUGAAUGUCACCGGGGCCUGUGACUAAAGUUGUUUAUGAGGCAAAAGUCUCAUGAAACGGAGGGAGGAAACGAUGACCGCCGCUCGCCAGGCUGUGGGAAAGGAGGAGGUGGCGGCGUCAAGGCUGACGUGCUCCCCCCCUCGGUUUGCUAAGGAAGACUGUCUUUAAAUACGACAUGUGGAGUGAGACACGCCGAACAGGGUGACGUUUCAUUCGUCACUGUGCAUGAGACAGCGAGGAAGAAGGAGUCUUUUAAAUCGUAUACCGUCCGGCGGUACUUCUAAAAUACGACAAUUCUGUGCUGGGGCUCAAAAAGCAACGCCAAGCUCAGCUCCACAGGCCCCAGACGGUGCUGCCCCCUUCCUCUCACCCUGUCCUUUUCCUUU
Molecule: long non-coding RNA, 3283 nt
Organism: Aethalodelphis obliquidens (Pacific white-sided dolphin)
Lineage: Eukaryota; Metazoa; Chordata; Mammalia; Artiodactyla; Delphinidae
Exons: 3
Source: RefSeq, a predicted model, not a curated record